This 859-nucleotide ribosomal RNA is filed under the name Pediococcus pentosaceus. Its description in RNAcentral is "bacterial SSU rRNA". It matches the Rfam family "Bacterial small subunit ribosomal RNA", at positions 61 to 907 of the family's 1533-position model. Lineage: Bacteria; Bacillati; Bacillota; Bacilli; Lactobacillales; Lactobacillaceae. The record is from RNAcentral.
GAUUAACGUACUUGUACUGAUUGAGAUUUUAACACGAAGUGAGUGGCGAACGGGUGAGUAACACGUGGGUAACCUGCCCAGAAGUAGGGGAUAACACCUGGAAACAGAUGCUAAUACCGUAUAACAGAGAAAACCGCAUGGUUUUCUUUUAAAAGAUGGCUCUGCUAUCACUUCUGGAUGGACCCGCGGCGUAUUAGCUAGUUGGUGAGGUAAAGGCUCACCAAGGCAGUGAUACGUAGCCGACCUGAGAGGGUAAUCGGCCACAUUGGGACUGAGACACGGCCCAGACUCCUACGGGAGGCAGCAGUAGGGAAUCUUCCACAAUGGACGCAAGUCUGAUGGAGCAACGCCGCGUGAGUGAAGAAGGGUUUCGGCUCGUAAAGCUCUGUUGUUAAAGAAGAACGUGGGUAAGAGUAACUGUUUACCCAGUGACGGUAUUUAACCAGAAAGCCACGGCUAACUACGUGCCAGCAGCCGCGGUAAUACGUAGGUGGCAAGCGUUAUCCGGAUUUAUUGGGCGUAAAGCGAGCGCAGGCGGUCUUUUAAGUCUAAUGUGAAAGCCUUCGGCUCAACCGAAGAAGUGCAUUGGAAACUGGGAGACUUGAGUGCAGAAGAGGACAGUGGAACUCCAUGUGUAGCGGUGAAAUGCGUAGAUAUAUGGAAGAACACCAGUGGCGAAGGCGGCUGUCUGGUCUGCAACUGACGCUGAGCUCGAUAGCAUGGGUAGCGAACAGGAUUAGAUACCUGGUAAUCCAUGCCGUAAACGAUGAUUACUAAGUGUGAGGUUUCCGCCCUAAUGCUCAGCUAACGCAUUAAGUGAUCCGCCGGGGAGUACGACCGCAAGGUUAAAACUCAUAAG